Molecule: transfer RNA, 65 nt
Filed under: Elateroidea sp. BMNH 1274729
Lineage: Eukaryota; Metazoa; Arthropoda; Insecta; Coleoptera
Description: tRNA-His
Source: RNAcentral
AUUUAAAUAGUUUAAUAAAAAUAUUGACUUGUGGGGUCAGAGCUAUAUAAAUUGUAUUUUAAAUA